RNAcentral lists this ribosomal RNA (548 nucleotides) under uncultured beta proteobacterium. Its description in RNAcentral is "bacterial SSU rRNA". It matches the Rfam family "Bacterial small subunit ribosomal RNA", at positions 355 to 896 of the family's 1533-position model. The record is from RNAcentral. Lineage: Bacteria; Pseudomonadati; Pseudomonadota; Betaproteobacteria.
UGGGGAAUUUUGGACAAUGGGCGCAAGCCUGAUCCAGCCAUGCCGCGUGCGGGAAGAAGGCCUUCGGGUUGUAAACCGCUUUUGUCAGGGAAGAAAUCCUUUGGGUUAAUAGCCUGGGGGGAUGACGGUACCUGGAGAAUAAGCACCGGCUAACUACGUGCCAGCAGCCGCGGUAAUACGUAGGGUGCGAGCGUUAAUCGGAAUUACUGGGCGUAAAGCGUGCGCAGGCGGUUCUAUAAGACAGAGGUGAAAUCCCCGGGCUCAACCUGGGAACUGCCUUUGUGACUGUAGAGCUGGAGUGCGGCAGAGGGGGAUGGAAUUCCGCGUGUAGCAGUGAAAUGCGUAGAUAUGCGGAGGAACACCGAUGGCGAAGGCAAUCCCCUGGGCCUGCACUGACGCUCAUGCACGAAAGCGUGGGGAGCAAACAGGAUUAGAUACCCUGGUAGUCCACGCCCUAAACGAUGUCAACUGGUUGUUGGACGGCUUGCUGUUCAGUAACGAAGCUAACGCGUGAAGUUGACCGCCUGGGGAGUACGGCCGCAAGGUUG